GAACAAACAAACUAAAGUUGUUUACUGUUUUAAACGUGAUAAAUUUUUGGAAAUGAAGUGUAAUGCUAAUGGUCUUCAUUUGUGAGAAUAAUGGCAAAAUUAUGCAUUUAACACUAUUUCCAUCUGUUGAACUUAGUCUAGGAAAAAUGUUUAUGAUUUUUGGGUUCUAAACUUGAUUAAGAUUUCGGUUUGCCGACAAACAGAAGGAUAAGAUGUCAAUUAUCCUGCCAAUAGGUUAUUAACAUAUGAGUCUAGUAGCUGGUUUCAAAUUUUUUUUGCAUAUGAUCUUCCACUUCAUCCAUUUAUUUGUAGCCGGUGCAUUUUUAGGUCACAGAUUAGUAUGGUUUAGUCCUUGUUUACAAGUCUUAUUCAACUUGUUUUGCUUACACUCUGUCAUUUGUCACUUGGUUCAAUCGAGUGACUGCUUAAGUCUGCUGUGCCUUCUUGAGUAAAUGACAUGAUUCGACAUCCAAAAUGCAUCACUGGUUAAAUUCUUUAUCACUCACAGCUUUCCAGUAUAUAUAUAUGAGUUACCAAUUUCCUUGAAUUUGAAGAGGCUUAUGGAUACAUAGUAACCUUAGCUUAAGCUUGAGC
This 594-nucleotide long non-coding RNA is filed under the name Coffea arabica (coffee). Its description in RNAcentral is "long non-coding RNA (CARA_LNC007849)". Lineage: Eukaryota; Viridiplantae; Streptophyta; Magnoliopsida; Gentianales; Rubiaceae. The record is from RNAcentral.